Molecule: ribosomal RNA, 467 nt
Filed under: uncultured bacterium
Lineage: Bacteria
Description: partial 16S ribosomal RNA
Rfam family: Bacterial small subunit ribosomal RNA
Source: RNAcentral
ACGAACGCUGGCGGCGUGUUUAACACAUGCAAGUCGAACGGAAAGGCCCUGCUUUUGUGGGGUGCUCGAGUGGCGAACGGGUGAGUAACACGUGAGUAACCUGCCCUUGACUUUGGGAUAACUUCAGGAAACUGGGGCUAAUACCGGAUAGGAGCUCCUGCUGCAUGGUGGGGGUUGGAAAGUUUCGGCGGUUGGGGAUGGACUCGCGGCUUAUCAGCUUGUUGGUGGGGUAGUGGCUUACCAAGGCUUUGACGGGUAGCCGGCCUGAGAGGGUGACCGGCCACAUUGGGACUGAGAUACGGCCCAGACUCCUACGGGAGGCAGCAGUGGGGAAUAUUGCACAAUGGGCGGAAGCCUGAUGCAGCAACGCCGCGUGCGGGAUGACGGCCUUCGGGUUGUAAACCGCUUUCGCCUGUGACGAAGCGUGAGUGACGGUAAUGGGUAAAGAAGCACCGGCUAACUACGUG